UUUUGUCCUUUUUAUCUUCGUCUCCUCUUCCUUCUUCUUCUGCAUCGUUUCUACACAGCUUCUCCUCCUCUUCACCCUCCUUUUUCCUGAGCAGGGUGAACAUGGAUGUAUGAAGGAGUGAGAAAGCCCCUGGUGGGGGCAGAACCUUCAGCGUUUGCUUUGUACACCGUCUGCUCCACUCUGGGCGUCUCCUUCCAUGUGAAGGAUGAGUGUGGCCAAGCAGACGUGACCCAUGUCCCUGGAGCUGAAUGGAGCCUUGGACGGCCUGAAAUUUACUAUAUAGACCCGGCUAACAUUGAACUCACAGACACCGUCCAGAUCCCAACUCCAAGUGCUGGAGUUAAAGGCAAGCACCACCACCCCCAGAUAUACUUGGUGUUGUACGGGUGAUUUGCCUGCAUUGAUGUCUGUGUAUCAUGUGCAAGCCUGGUGCCUAUGGAUGUCAGAAGAGAUCAGAUCUCCCAGAACUGGAGUUAUGGAUGAUGAUGAACUGUCGUAUGGCCACUACUACAUGUCAUAUGGUCACUGUUGAAGGAUCUGAGGAGUUUAGUUCAGUGCCUGGCAAGCAAUGAAUGGCUAAAGGACAUUCUCUACGCAUGGAAUCGAAACAGGUAUGAUCACAAAUCCUUCCAAGCCGGGAAGACCAGUGGGAAGAGAACAAAGCCCAGGUUGGAUGUCAUCACAGAGCAGAUGCACCUGGCUUGGGCUGCCUACCUGCCCUUUGUGUUGGGGGACACACAGACGGUUGCGGUCCCUGUUGUUUGGGUUUCCCAGGCCUUUGCGUGGACUCCUCACUAAGGAACUUGCACGUAGCCCAAAGCUUUACACCGCUGUGUCCAUGAACACGGGUCCCCACUCUGCUCUGCUGGGUCUCUGCUCCUUGCAGAUGGGGCUCUAGGCUUGCUCAUUUCUAUAGCACUGGCAUACAGUGGGUCUCCCACAGAUGUUUGACGAGUGAGUAUCGGUGUCAUCUGAGAUACGCUAUGACCGGUGAGACUGUCACCGCUGCUGUUGAACAUCUCCAGGUGCCGGUGUGACCGUCUUGCCAGGAAUGAAGAAAUCCAGGAGACAUCAUGACCCCCCCCCCUUUGGCUACCUGGCAGCUUUAGAAUUCUCACAAUUAGACGUUCCUCGGGGACUCAUGCUGACUGGACUCAUGGUGCCAGCCAGAGGGAGAGUUUGUCUCCCAGGAAGAGAUCUCAGAAUUCUGACAACUUGUCUGACUAGACUCUCCCCUGAGAGACUGGAGCUAAGGCAGUGAUGGGCAGGACCAGGCCGUGGCCAGAACUGCUUAAUUAUGGAUGCAUCCUUGGCGAGGAGUAUUAUCUGUGCACGUCCCUUUCUGCACUUCACUAUUAUGGCCGGUCCCAGUGUGUUCACACUGCCAGGGUCCAGGAUGUGGCCCUAACAGUCUGGUGAUGUUGGGUUUCAUCAGAGAAUGGUGUGAUAUGCUUCAAACUGGGUGCUUGUGUAGAGGUAAAGUCAUGAUCUACGAGCAGACUGUAGGUCCUUCAUUUCUGCAUGCAUCAUAAUGACAAGCAAAGCCUUUAAAUAGACAGACAAACUAGAGCUUUUCUGUCAAUAACAAUGUAGCUUUACUGAAAUAGAAUUAGCCUCAAUGAGAGAGGAGUGGGGUGGUAGAAAGGACCCAGCAAAGGGUGAUGGGAUGGAUGGUUUUUCUCCCUGACUCCUCGGGACUGUCUUUCCUCAUCUGCCUCCUCCGUUGCCCGUGGCAGUUUCCAUUUCCUUCAGCCUGGCUGGCUACUGAGCCAAUUACCCAAAGCCUUUCUGUCGUCUGCGUCAGCUCUCCUCGUUCCUUCACAGUUUCUGCGUUGCAUAAGCAUUUUAAUGCUUACACAACAACCUUAGGUCUGUUGGGGGUCUUUGAACCUCAGAAGAUUGUAAUAUAUUGGCUUCAAUACUCACCUGUGGAAAGCCUGAUACCUUCUUUUGAGAUUUCUUCUGAUUCCCAGCAGACUUUCCUCUGGCUGGGGAAAGCGAUGGAGGUGGGGAGGAUACAACAUGGACAGGACACUCCCAGCUUCUACUUCCUUCUAAGAAGAGUCUGAUUUCUCACCAUUUGUGUGCUAAGCCCUUCCCAAUAUUGUGUUCACAGGAUCAAGGGCAGCAGGACCUCAUUCAUCUCUCAUUGCCAAUUAGACAGUUUGUAUCACUCAAUAUUCAUAACAUGUUAGCACUUCCACACAGCCCAUAAACACGGCCUUAGUGAGUAGUAUGUCCUAGCAUUUAUUCUGUGCUGGGCUUUGUCAGGCAAAGGAUACUUGAGUGACUUACUGUAGUAGUGAUGGAGACAGAAGGUGGAACUGGAGAGCCAUAGUCGGUAUCCCUAUAGAGUACUGGCAGGUGCUGUGGUCCUGUGUGAAGGGCCACAGGAGCAGGGACACACUGUGUGCUAUGCAGGCACAAGGUUCUGAAAGGAUCCGUGUGGUGUUGCUUCUUAUGCUAAUGAACAGAGAUCUCUCCUUCACAAGGCCUUCCUCUGUCAUGGAGGCCCAGCCAGAAGUUCCCCUAAUUCCAUCCGCACUGGAAACAAGCCACUUGUGCAUCUGCACUAGGAAAUGUCAGCCACUUGGGUUGAAGAGAAGCUGAUGAUGUCCCCAUGUGGUCCCAGGAAGGGAAUGCCACUGUCUUGAGGGUUAAAGUUCACUCUGUUACACAGGUGAGUAAUCUGCAGCAGACCUCAUUCCUUUUCAUAACUUCCCCCUGGAUUUUACAUAUUAGCAAAUGGCUAGUUUUUUUCUGCUAUAGGUCUGCUUGUGUGUGUGUGUAAAGGUGGGCUUUAUCGCCAUCUAGUGGCAUCUUUUAUCCUUGUGGUUUCUUGAGUAUAAAAAUACUAAAUGUUACCAUUAA
Molecule: long non-coding RNA, 2871 nt
Organism: Mus musculus (house mouse)
Lineage: Eukaryota; Metazoa; Chordata; Mammalia; Rodentia; Muridae
Product: predicted gene, 33205
Exons: 5
Source: RefSeq, a predicted model, not a curated record